AGUGAACGCUGGCGGUAGGCCUAACACAUGCAAGUCGAACGGCAGCACAGUAAGAGCUUGCUCUUACGGGUGGCGAGUGGCGGACGGGUGAGGAAUACAUCGGAAUCUACUUUUUCGUGGGGGAUAACGUAGGGAAACUUACGCUAAUACCGCAUACGGCCUACGGGUGAAAGCAGGGGAUCUUCGGACCUUGCGCGAUUGAAUGAGCCGAUGUCGGAUUAGCUAGUUGGCGGGGUAAAGGCCCACCAAGGCGACGAUUCGUAGCUGGUCCGAGAGGAUGGACAGGCACACGGGAACCGAGGACGCGUCCACACUCCCACAGGAGGCAGCAGUGGGGAAUAUUGGACAAAGGGCGCAAGCCUGAUCCAGCCAUACCGCGUGGGUGAAGAAGGCCUUCGGGUUGUAAAGCCCUUUUGUUGGGAAAGAAAAGCAGCAGGUUAAUACCCCGCUGUUCUGACGGUACCCAAAGAAUAAGCACCGGCUAACUUCGUG
This 492-nucleotide ribosomal RNA is filed under the name uncultured bacterium. RNAcentral describes it as "partial 16S ribosomal RNA". It matches the Rfam family "Bacterial small subunit ribosomal RNA", at positions 29 to 507 of the family's 1533-position model. The record is from RNAcentral.